This 490-nucleotide ribosomal RNA is filed under the name uncultured bacterium. RNAcentral describes it as "partial 16S ribosomal RNA". It matches the Rfam family "Bacterial small subunit ribosomal RNA", at positions 30 to 507 of the family's 1533-position model. The record is from RNAcentral.
AUUGAACGCUGGCUGCAGGCCUAACACAUGCAAGUCGAACGGUAACAGGAAGAAGCUUGCUUCUUUGCUGACGAGUGGCGGACGGGUGAGUAAUGUCUGGGAAACUGCCUGAUGGAGGGGGAUAACUACUGGAAACGGUAGCUAAUACCGCAUAACGUCGCAAGACCAAAAAGGGGGACCUUCGGGCCUCUUGCCAUCGGAUGUGCCCAGAUGGGAUUAGCUAGUAGGUGGGGUAACGGCUCACCUAGGCGACGAUCCCUAGCUGGUCUGAGAGGAUGACCAGCCACACUGGAACUGAGACACGGUCCAGACUCCUACGGGAGGCAGCAGUGGGGAAUAUUGCACAAUGGGCGCAAGCCUGAUGCAGCCAUGCCGCGUGUAUGAAGAAGGCCUUCGGGUUGUAAAGUACUUUCAGCGGGGAGGAAGGGAGUAAAGUUAAUACCUUUGCUCAUUGACGUUACCCGCAGAAGAAGCACCGGCUAACUCCGUG